CCUACGGGUGGCAGCAGUGGGGAAUAUUGGACAAUGGGCGAAAGCCUGAUCCAGCCAUGCCGCGUGUGUGAAGAAGGCCUUCGGGUUGUAAAGCACUUUCAGUGGGGAAGAAAGCCUUGGGGCUAAUACCCUCGAGGAAGGACAUCACCCACAGAAGAAGCACCGGCUAACUCCGUGCCAGCAGCCGCGGUAAUACGGAGGGUGCGAGCGUUAAUCGGAAUUACUGGGCGUAAAGCGCGCGUAGGCGGUCUGAUAAGCCGGUUGUGAAAGCCCCGGGCUCAACCUGGGAACGGCAUCCGGAACUGUCAGGCUAGAGUGCAGGAGAGGAAGGUAGAAUUCCCGGUGUAGCGGUGAAAUGCGUAGAGAUCGGGAGGAAUACCAGUGGCGAAGGCGGCCUUCUGGACUGACACUGACGCUGAGGUGCGAAAGCGUGGGUAGCAAACAGGAUUAGAUACCCUAGUCGUC
Molecule: ribosomal RNA, 465 nt
Filed under: Vreelandella stevensii
Lineage: Bacteria; Pseudomonadati; Pseudomonadota; Gammaproteobacteria; Oceanospirillales; Halomonadaceae
Description: partial 16S ribosomal RNA
Rfam family: Bacterial small subunit ribosomal RNA
Source: RNAcentral